UAGUCCUAACCAUAAACGGUGUACACUUGGUGUGCGAGGAAUUGUCCCUUUGCGCGCCGUAGCUAACGCGUUAAGUGUACCGCCUGGGGAGUACGGUCGCAAGAUUAAAACUCAAAGGAAUUGACGGGGACCCGCACAAGCGGUGGAGCAUGUGGCUUAAUUCGAUGCAACGCGAAGAACCUUACCUGGACUUGACAUGCAAGUGGUAGGAGUCCGAAAGGGUGACGACCGUAGCAAUACGGAGCUUGCACAGGUGCUGCAUGGCUGUCGUCAGCUCGUGCCGUGAGGUGUUGGGUUAAGUCCCGCAACGAGCGCAACCCUUGUGGUUAGUUGCCCUUAUUAAGUUAGGCACUCUAGCCAGACUGCCUGUGAUAAGCAGGAGGAAGGUGGGGGAUGACGUCAAGUCAGUAUGGGUCCUUAUGUCCAGGGGCUGCACACGUGCUACAAUGGGCCAGCACAGAAGGAAGCAAUACCGCAAGGGU
This 482-nucleotide ribosomal RNA is filed under the name uncultured bacterium. Its description in RNAcentral is "bacterial SSU rRNA". It matches the Rfam family "Bacterial small subunit ribosomal RNA", at positions 791 to 1264 of the family's 1533-position model. The record is from RNAcentral.